CACUCAGAAAGGCUUGUAAGAAGCUAAAUGACAUUUCAUGCCUGUAGUCACCAAAAUAUCCUGUCACAUGAGACAGCUCUGUGAUAACUUGUAGCAUCUACGGCUGGACAAAAUCCAAUGUCUAUAAAUAGCCUAUCAAAAAGAGCUGAAAACUAUACAAAAGUAGAAAUGUCUAGGAUGGAGGCAGAAUACAUACUGGAUCAUACCUGAGGGUCAUGUUAUCCUGGCACUGGUAGACUAUCUCCCACUAGGUCUAAGUUUGAUGUAUAAUAUCUAGAGGUUGAAGUUUAGGAUUAAUUUUGGAAAAUUUAGCAUUUGGUUAGCAUUCACUGUUUUGAUUUGGGACAUGUUAUGUUCAUAAAUGUAGAUGUAAACAUCUAACCCUUUUCUGAAUUUCAAUAGUUUUUUUCCCUUGGCUCCUGACUGAGACAAGUGUCAUUGCUCACUUAAGUUGUGUGUAUAUUUCAGUCACCCAUUCUGAACUUGCCACCAUCAAGUUCCUGUUCUUGUCCAAUGAGACAGGAAAGCAGGUGUUUCCAUGCUUAAUUCUUGAUGUUACUUGCUACUCUUUUUGCUUUUAUCCUCUGUCAUUUAUCUGUCUCUAAGGUAAAUAGUCCCAAUCUAUUAAAACAAUUUUUUUUUAUGAGGGCCUUUUUCUCAAACUAUGCCCCUAGACAGAUGUGGAAAUCUUCCCCAUAUCACUUUUUCUGAGGUGGGAUGUACAGUACACUGUUCCAAAGGAGAAAAUGAAUUUCUUUAUAUAGAGGUACUCUAAUGCUUGGUGUUAAUCAGGAUGUUAUUUAUUCCAUCUGUGUUCUAACAGCUUAUUUGUUUUCUGACUACAGCCUCAUGUGGAUUAGAGAGAUCACUUAGAUAUUUACAUAAAUGGCCAGUUUCUGCUUUUCAGUUGAUGUAAAUAAAUUAGAACUUGUCAGAUGUAGAAGCAGUACACAUUUUCCUCUCUAACAUGCAUUAUUUUGCAUUUUCAACAUUGAACUUAAUUCGCCAUUACACGAUCCAUUCCAUUUUAUUAGCAUUUCCUCAUCAGCACAAUCCCCUCUUGUCUUGCUUAACUGAAAUAAUUAUGACAGCUGCAAAUUUUACAAUCUCACAAUACAAUCCUCUUUCCAGAUCAAUAGCAAAUACAGCAACAAUAGGCGACUUGCUGCAGAACCCUGAAGCAGGCUGUCAUUGACCUUCUGCCAUCACAGCAACCAGUGACCCUUUCAACCAAAGAAAACACAAUCCAAGCAUUGCAGCAAUUGAGGGCAUUUCUUUGGCCUCCUGUCGGACACAUCAACAGGGUGUCAAUGUGUCAGACACAGAUUUUAACAUCAGCGCAGAGUCUCUGCCUGCAGCAUAAAUUCCUUUAUUUGAUGCAAUUCAGAACAAAGGCCUCACCCCUGUGGAUCACGCAGGAACUGUAAGGUCAAGCAGCCUCCUGACUGCCCUGGUGCUGCUGGGACCCACUUGGUGAACACAAAGCCAACCUUUUGUGUGCAGCCGAACCUGGCACGCAGGUGGCCCUGCAGGAAGGGCAACAGUGAGUAUAGGCUGGCUCUCCCUUCCACUUCACUGCUUGAGCUUAGCCCGUGAGCAAGGAGAGCAGGAGGCAGCGCUGGGAAAAUGCUGAAACGCGGAAGAGGUGGGAUCAAAAGCCACUAAAGAUCCAGUGCAGCUGCAGUGGCACAUGACUCAAUGGGACGUCAUCACUGGCUUAGAGGAAGGGAGAGACAGAGCUUGAGUAAGAGGAAAUACACUUGGUAAAUUUAACACUUCGUAGGAGAAAUCGUCUCUUCACCUCAAUUACUCACUCACUCACUCAAUUUUUACCCCCAACGCAGUAACUUCUGUAUGUAGCAUGAGACAUUUUUGUCAUCUCUAAUUCUGUAGAUUGCUCCCAUUUCUAGGAUAACCUUUGACCUUCUGCAGACCUGCUACUUCUUUGCAGCAUUCCCUUUCUACCCUCCAUACCCCAGUCUGGUUUCUGCAUUGAGCUUACCUGCUCUAUAUCUUUUUGUAUCUUCUAAUGUGGAAGUAAAAGUUCCUUGUGGGCAGAAA
This is a long non-coding RNA of Dromaius novaehollandiae (emu), 2061 nucleotides long. RefSeq lists it as uncharacterized. Lineage: Eukaryota; Metazoa; Chordata; Aves; Casuariiformes; Dromaiidae. The transcript is spliced from 3 exons. The record is from RefSeq and is a predicted model, not a curated record.